Non-coding RNA from Cinara cedri, 1170 nucleotides. The record is from the annotation of a GenBank genome assembly. Lineage: Eukaryota; Metazoa; Arthropoda; Insecta; Hemiptera; Aphididae.
ACGAGUAAAUAAUAUAUAGUCGCCAAAUAACGCUUGGUACAAAAUUAAUUAUAAUACGAAGCAGUUAUUAACAGAUAAGAGGAAUCAUAGAUCCGUAUGUAUUGUUAAAAGAUACUGGAUAGGUCGCUUCUAUGAUCCAUACUUGGUUAUUCUAGAUCGCGAUCCAAGGAAGGACACAAGGAGCUCGGCUAUCCUGGGCUAGGAGAGGUAAUUCGAGCUUUUUGUUCGUAUGUUUUAUUGUGACGCUAGCGAAUAUUCACUACGGCAAAAAUAAUACUGACUGUCUAUCCGUAUAUUUAAUAUUGACUGCGUCUUGUCCAAGAUUGUACAGUGACCAAAACCAGUUGAUUUUGGAAACGAACAACUAUUACGGAUUUACAUGAAUUCUCGUCGCGAAGGAACCGGGCAAUAAUUAGCUUAUUUAUACAUUAUUCGUAACAUUUCGUUUUUUGAAAUAUUUAUGUUAUAAUUUUUAAGUGGGGACUGCCGUAGAUGAGACACGCGUAAAUGGGUUUCAAACGAACCUUAACGACAUUGCAAUAGUCGUACUUAUAAUUAGAUGUUCAGGACGACUUUCUGACACUCGCCAAAAUCGCACGAGUGAUACUAAUCAACCUCGACACCGCAUCUGUGUGAACAUAUUUUCGUCCGGUUUCGAUCGGGGCAAGACACGACACGUUUCGUGACGUAUAUAAUAGCAGUGGAGUGGAGCGUUUUUUUUUGUCCGUCAUUUCUCGAGUAUUUUUUUCUUUCGGAAACCGUCACAUAAUUUUCCGCCGCGUCCUUGGCACCGCCGCCGGAAGGACACUUGUUGGACCAAGACGGGCGAGGAAAAGAAAAAAACACAAUUCCCUCUACUCGUAUAAACGGCUCGUGGGUGAGACAAUAUUUUCGCGUAUUUAAUAAUUUAAUUGUACGCGGGACGUACGUGACGUGCCAUAUGCAUAACAUACUUCAACCAAAUAUCCCUCAACAACCUCUUAUAUAUGUUGACUUGUUAAACGUUGUUUAAAAUUGUUUACGAUUCGUCAGAGUUUAUUUUCUCAGAAAUUCGAGCUCUAUACCUUUUGUGGUAGGUACUAACUUCAUGUAGCAUCGCGUAAAAGUUCAAUGUCGUUGUACUGGUCUCAAAAUACUCGCACACGUUUGAUACGCGUUGUUAAUAAUAAU